UGGGGAAUAUUGGACAAUGGGCGCAAGCCUGAUCCAGCCAUGCCGCGUGAGUGAUGAAGGCCCUAGGGUUGUAAAGCUCUUUCACCGGUGAAGAUAAUGACGGUAACCGGAGAAGAAGCCCCGGCUAACUUCGUACCAGCAGCCGCGGUAAUACGAAGGGGGCUAGCGUUGUUCGGAUUUACUGGGCGUAAAGCGCACGUAGGCGGACUAUUAAGUCAGGGGUGAAAUCCCGGGGCUCAACCCCGGAACUGCCUUUGAUACUGGUAGUCUUGAGUUCGAGAGAGGUGAGUGGAAUUCCGAGUGUAGAGGUGAAAUUCGUAGAUAUUCGGAGGAACACCAGUGGCGAAGGCGGCUCACUGGCUCGAUACUGACGCUGAGGUGCGAAAGCGUGGGGAGCAAACAGG
RNAcentral lists this ribosomal RNA (404 nucleotides) under Actinomycetes bacterium. RNAcentral describes it as "Actinobacteria bacterium partial 16S ribosomal RNA". It matches the Rfam family "Bacterial small subunit ribosomal RNA", at positions 355 to 776 of the family's 1533-position model. Lineage: Bacteria; Bacillati; Actinomycetota; Actinomycetes. The record is from RNAcentral.